Gigantopelta aegis is the source of this 690-nucleotide long non-coding RNA. RefSeq lists it as uncharacterized. The transcript is spliced from 2 exons. Lineage: Eukaryota; Metazoa; Mollusca; Gastropoda; Neomphalida; Peltospiridae. The record is from RefSeq and is a predicted model, not a curated record.
GUAAACCUCAAACGUCACAAGGUCAGGAUGAGAAAGUAAUUCAAGCCCUUCAACCUACGUGGCAAGAAGUUGUGUCGGUCGCAAACAUCGGAGGGAAAAGUGACCGCUUCGAGGUGUCCUUACAACAACACGAAGGAAGACAUGAAAAGGUGAUGCCAUACAGAUGUCAACAGCCCCGCUGUGCAGCUGGGUCUUUUGGCAAGUACAAUUAUCAAGGUCAUGUACAAACGCACACUAAAAAACGCAGGUAUGAAUGUCCUACGUGUAAGGGUAUGUAUUUCCCUCCCAAAGACUUAAAACGACACCAAAGAAGAGAGAGGAAGGAGCUAAAGUUCAAAUGUGAUGUAUGUAAUUCAGUGUUUGAAGAAUAAAAUCAGCUCGUCGACCAUAUGGGGAUACACACCGGUGGAAUGAAGCACAUCUUUUGUGAAUAUGGAAAAAGUUAAACCGCCACAAGAUGGGACAUAAAUGGUAGAGCUACACCUGUAACACGUGUGGGACGGAACUAUAGACCAAACAAACUGAGUCUUUAGCAGUAUCCAAGUACUGACAGGUUUCGUCAUACUCAGACAUUUUGUACCACUAUUAGGUUAUUUUUCUUCUCUUUUUUGUAGUGCAUUGUACGGAAGCCUGGAGGUGACACAUCUCGUGUACUUGACAACGUACAGAAUAAAAACAAAUAAACUUUAA